GACGAACGCUGGCGGCGUGCCUAAUACAUGCAAGUUGAGCGCUGAAGGUUGGUACUUGUACCAACUGGAUGAGCAGCGAACGGGUGAGUAACGCAUGGGGAAUCUGCCUUUGAGCGGGGGACAACAUUUGGAAACGAAUGCUAAUACCGCAUAAAAACUUUAAACACAAGUUUUAAGUUUGAAAGAUGCAAUUGCAUCACUCAAAGAUGAUCCCGCGUUGUAUUAGCUAGUUGGUGAGGUAAAGGCUCACCAAGGCGAUGAUACAUAGCCGACCUGAGAGGGUGAUCGGCCACAAUGGGACUGAGACACGGCCCAAACUCCUACGGGAGGCAGCAGUAGGGAAUCUUCGGCAAUGGACGAAAGUCUGACCGAGCAACGCCGCGUGAGUGAAGAAGGUUUUCGGAUCGUAAAACUCUGUUGGUAGAGAAGAACGUUGGUGAGAGUGGAAAGCUCAUCAAGUGACGGUAACUACCCAGAAAGGGACGGCUAACUACGUG
This 497-nucleotide ribosomal RNA is filed under the name uncultured bacterium. Its description in RNAcentral is "partial 16S ribosomal RNA". It matches the Rfam family "Bacterial small subunit ribosomal RNA", at positions 28 to 507 of the family's 1533-position model. The record is from RNAcentral.